GAUGAAGAACGUAGCGAAAUGCGAUAAGUAAUGUGAAUUGCAGAAUUCAGUGAAUCAUCGAAUCUUUGAACGCACAUUGCGCCCGCCAGUAUUCUGGCGGGCAUGCCUGUCCGAGCGUCAUUUCAACCCUCGAACCCCUCCGGGGGGUCGGCGUUGGGGAUCGGCCCUGCCUUUGGCGGUGGCCGUCUCCGAAAUACAGUGGCGGUCUCGCCGCAGCCUCUCCUGCGCAGUAGUUUGCACACUCGCAUCGGGAGCGCGGCGCGUCCACAGCCGUUAAACACACAACUGCUGAAAUGUUGACCUCGGAUCAGGUAGGAAUACCCGCUGAACUUAAGCAUAUCAAUAAGCGGAGGA
RNAcentral lists this unclassified non-coding RNA (354 nucleotides) under soil metagenome. RNAcentral's name for it is "partial contains 5.8S ribosomal RNA, internal transcribed spacer 2, and large subunit ribosomal RNA". The stretch from base 1 to 120 matches the Rfam family "5.8S ribosomal RNA", at positions 35 to 154 of the family's 154-position model. The record is from RNAcentral.